UACAGAGGGUGCAAGCGUUGUUCGGAAUUAUUGGGCGUAAAGCGCGUGUAGGCGGCUUUGCAAGUCGGGUGUGAAAUCCCUCAGCUCAACUGAGGAAGUGCGCCCGAAACUGCAGAGCUUGAGUACCGGAGAGGAUGGUGGAAUUCCCCAAGUAGAGGUGAAAUUCGUAGAUAUCUGGAGGAACACCGGUGGCGAAGGCGGCAUCCUGGACCGGUAUUGACGCUGAUGCGCGAAAGCCAGGGGAGCAAACGGG
Molecule: ribosomal RNA, 253 nt
Filed under: uncultured bacterium
Lineage: Bacteria
Description: partial 16S ribosomal RNA
Rfam family: Bacterial small subunit ribosomal RNA
Source: RNAcentral